UGGAAAUAAAGCUCCAUACAUAGCUCGGUACUAGUAGAUCAGCAUGUUAACUAGGUUAAUUCCCAACUGUCCUACCACCAACUACCUAGCACGAGGCUCUCAACAACCUGCAGCCAGAUCCCAGGUGGUCCCAAUGGCUACAUUCAUUGAAUACAGCCUGAGCAAUACUCUCACUCCACUCUUCACUCAGCUGACCCUGUAUUCUGUGAAUUCUGCCCUAGCUCCAAACCUCUUGGUACAAAGGAACUCUCUACGUUUAGUUCUCUCGACAACUACCUACUAUAAGAUGAAGUUUCCAGGAACUCAUGUGAUCAUGAGACUCUGCAGUCACUUCAGGGGGUCUUGUUGACUGGCUCGGGGGGCUGGUGUCAAGCCCAAGCAGAAGAGCCCUCAGAGCAAGCAGCCCUGCUUCUGUGGAUGCUGGAUGGCAUCAUCACCAGGCGGGUCCUUCAGAGUACUGGGAGCAGCAUGCAGCCCG
RNAcentral lists this long non-coding RNA (478 nucleotides) under Homo sapiens (human). Its description in RNAcentral is "non-protein coding LINC01588:98". The record is from RNAcentral. Lineage: Eukaryota; Metazoa; Chordata; Mammalia; Primates; Hominidae.